RNAcentral lists this ribosomal RNA (530 nucleotides) under uncultured bacterium. RNAcentral's name for it is "bacterial SSU rRNA". It matches the Rfam family "Bacterial small subunit ribosomal RNA", at positions 355 to 896 of the family's 1533-position model. The record is from RNAcentral.
UCGAGGAUCUUCGGCAAUGGACGAAAGUCUGACCGAGCAACGCCGCGUGUGCGAUGAAGGCCUUCGGGUUGUAAAGCACUGUCGAGGGGAAACAAGCCGUAAGGUUGAGUGACCCCUGGAGGAAGCACGGGCUAAGUUCGUGCCAGCAGCCGCGGUAAGACGAACCGUGCAAACGUUAUUCGGAAUCACUGGGCUUAAAGGGCGCGUAGGCGGGUGAUCAAGUCAAUGGUGAAAUCCUCCAGCUUAACUGGAGAAGUGCCUUUGAUACUGAUUGUCUAGAGGGAGGUAGGGGCAUGUGGAACUUCAGGUGGAGCGGUGAAAUGCGUAGAUAUCUGAAGGAACGCCAGUGGCGAAAGCGAUGUGCUGGACCUCUUCUGACGCUGAGGCGCGAAAGCUAGGGGAUCAAACGGGAUUAGAUACCCCGGUAGUCCUAGCCCUAAACUAUGGGUACUAGAUUGUGGACUUUCAUGGGUUCACAGUCGAAGCAAAAGUGUUAAGUACCCCGCCUGGGGAGUAUGGUCGCAAGGCUG